UGAUGCUAUGGAUAUGAGACCGCUUGGACAUUGUUAUUAUUUGAUUAAGCUUGAUUCUUGUCAAUUUUCAUGUUCUGUUUUGGUUUAUUGCUCCCUCUUUGACCCUAGGCCUUGUCCUAGUGAUUAGCCUCUCACAUUUGAGCUUUGUUUCAGGUUAAAAAGCACAAUUGCCAUGCUUGAUGAGGUUCACUCAUUUGGAGUUGAUCCAUUGCUUGUUGAUGACUAACUCUGAGUUUGUUUUGUAGGCUUUAAG
Molecule: long non-coding RNA, 253 nt
Filed under: Lathyrus oleraceus (garden pea)
Lineage: Eukaryota; Viridiplantae; Streptophyta; Magnoliopsida; Fabales; Fabaceae
Description: Pisum sativum (pea) long non-coding RNA (PSAT_LNC020735)
Source: RNAcentral